UCGAAUAAACUUGAUAGAUUGUUGCUGGGCUCUAUGGAGCAUGGUGCACGUCUGUCAUUUUUAUCUUUCCACCUGUGAACUCUGCAUAGACCCGAAUAUUUAUUUGAAUUGAAGCUUGCUUUGAUUUCUGGAAAUUGCUAUCAUUAUUAUAGCUUUUUCUGUAUUCGGGUUCUAUGAUUCUUACAAUAUACUCCAUGUAUGUUAACGAACGUUAUAAUGGGCCUGUAAAGCCUAUAAUCUAUAAUA
RNAcentral lists this unclassified non-coding RNA (246 nucleotides) under uncultured Agaricomycetes. RNAcentral describes it as "sequence contains ITS1". Lineage: Eukaryota; Fungi; Basidiomycota; Agaricomycetes. The record is from RNAcentral.